CUAGUUGUAUUAUUAGUUAAUGCAAGAUCGACUACGUCGACUAAAGUUCUAGGUAGAAUAAUGAUGAUGACAAUUUUUUACCUAUAUGUCUUGACCAAGUCUCGUGCCAGCAGUCGCGGUAAUACGUGGAAGACUAGUGUUAUUCAUCUUUAUUAGGUUUAAAGGGUACCUAGACGGUAUUUCUAGCCCAAAAUAGGGUACGGAUUUACUAGAGUUUUAUGUGAGGAGGGGAGUACUCGUGGAGUAGAGAUGAAAUUUUGUUAUACUAUGAGGUAACUGGUGGCGGCGAAAGCAACCUUCUAUGUAUAAACUGACGUUGAGGGACGAAGGCUUGGGUAGCAAAUAGGAUUAGAUACCCUAGUAGUCCAAGCAGACAAUUCUGAAUGCCAUAGAUUAGAUUAUUUUUGGUCUAUAAAUGAAAGUGUAAGCAUUCCACCUUAGGAGUAAUGUGGCAACACAGGAACUGAAAUCAUUAGACCGUUUCUGAAACCAGUAGUGAAGUAUGUUAUUUAAAUUGAUGGUCCACAAAAAACCUUACCACAACUUGAAUAUUUUUUAAUUAAUACAAGCGUUGCACGGCUGUCUUCAGUUAAUGUCGUGAGAUUUUGGUUAACUCCAUUAAUUAACGUAAACCCUUACUUUA
This 643-nucleotide ribosomal RNA is filed under the name Acarospora novomexicana. RNAcentral describes it as "SSU rRNA". It matches the Rfam family "Bacterial small subunit ribosomal RNA", at positions 383 to 1113 of the family's 1533-position model. Lineage: Eukaryota; Fungi; Ascomycota; Lecanoromycetes; Acarosporales; Acarosporaceae. The record is from RNAcentral.